GACGAACGCUGGCGGCGUGCUUAACACAUGCAAGUCGAACGGAAAGGCCCUGCUUUUGUGGGGUGCCCGAGUGGCGAACGGGUGUGUAACACGUGAGUAACCUGCCCUUGACUUUGGGAUAACUUCAGGAAACUGGGGCUAAUACCGGAUAGGAGCUCCUGCUGCAUGGUGGGGGUUGGAAAGUUUCGGCGGUUGGGGAUGGACUCGCGGCUUAUCAGCUUGUUGGUGGGGUAGUGGCUUACCAAGGCUUUGACGGGUAGCCGGCCUGAGAGGGUGACCGGCGACAUUGGGACUGAGGUAGGGCCCAGACGCCUACGGGGGGCAGCGGUGGGGAAUAUUGCACAAUGGGCGGGAGCCUGAUGCGACGACGCCGCGUGCGGGAUGACGGCCUUCGGGUUGUAAACCGCUUUCGCCUGUGACGAAGCGUGAGUGACGGUAAUGGGUAAAGAAGCACCGGCUAACUACGUG
Molecule: ribosomal RNA, 468 nt
Filed under: uncultured bacterium
Lineage: Bacteria
Description: partial 16S ribosomal RNA
Rfam family: Bacterial small subunit ribosomal RNA
Source: RNAcentral